AGAAUCGAAACUGAGAGCUCCUGGGCAGGCUCGGCAGGGCAGGCAGCUCCAGGAGGACUUCGAACCGUGGCCAACAGUUCCAGUGGACCGCGUGGACCCGUGAGCUCAGGAGCCUCAGACGCCUCCCCGGAGAGCCAAGCUGGUGUUCGAGGUGGCGCCUCCAGGGUCCACCCUGCUGCCCAACAGCCCCGCGGCCACCAGAGGGCCGUCCCUGGCCCGGCUGUGUGCCCUGGUGGACCUGUGUCUGGGCUGCUCCCGCUGCACCCAGCGGCUCAAUGAAAGCACCUACGUCCUCCGUAGGGUGGAGCAUGACUGCUCCCGCGAGAUCCUGCUGGCCCGCUUUAAGCAGGCCACCAAGAGCAAGGUCUGGCGUGUGGUGGGCUGCCGGCCCACCUUCCCAAGGCCCCUGUGCUACCAAGUCUGCCACUACUACAGCCCUGGGCUCGGCUGCCGGCGCCACCGAAACCGGUGCACCUUUGCCCGCAGUCGCGAGGAGGCCCUGGUCUGGACCUUCGAGCGUCAGCACAACCUCCAGCGCCUAUGGCUGAAGGCAGAGGUGCAGGGCCGCGGGGCCCAGGGAGGGGCAGGCCGGGCGGCCGACGCCAUCCUUACGGAGUUUGGUGGCCGCUUCGAGCUGCUUUGCUCCCUCUGCUUCAGGCGCUGUCCCCCACGCAUCUGUCGCGUGGACCCCCAGGGGCAGUGCCCUGAGCACGGAGCCUGCCCCUCCCUCCUGGCCCAUGUGAGCGCCGAGGGCCGCCGCAAGCAACAGUUUGUGGCGGUGAGGCCGCAGCCCCGGGCCGGCCAGCCUCCUGCCUACUGCAGGUUUGUGGGGCGUGGGCAGCCGUGCUGGCGUGGGGAGUCCCGCUGCCAGUUCGCACACAGCGCCGUGGAGAUGGCUGUGUGGGAGGCCGAGCAGCUGGGUGGCCUCCAGCGGGGGGACCUGCUCACAACCCCUGCCCCUGAUGGUGACGGGCGCACGGCCCCCCUUGGCCAGCCCCCUGGGGCCCAGCUGUACUGCCCGGCCUGCUUGGUCACCUGCCACUCUCAGGAGGCCUUCGAGAACCACUGCGCAUCCUCGGAGCACGCACAGAUGGUGGCCUUCGACCAGGCCCUGCCCUGGGAGCACCGUUCCCCACCCCCGGGACUCUCCAAGUUCGAGCUCUGCCCAAAGUAAGGAUACUCGAGGCAGGAGCUUGGAGUGGGGCAGGAGCCCACCAUGGGCAGAGCCAGAGGUUCCCAGGAGCUUGGAGUGGGGCAGGAGCCCACCAUGGGCAGAGCCAGAGGCUCCCAGGAGCUUGGAGUGGGGCAGGAGCCCACCGUAGGCAGAGCCAGAGGUUCCCAGGAGCUUGGAGUGGGGCAGGAGCCCACCAUGGGCAGAGCCAGAGGCUCCCAGGAGCUUGGAGUGGGGCAGGAGCCCACCGUAGGCAGAGCCAGAGGUUCCCAGGAGCUUGGAGUGGGGCAGGAGCCCACCACAGGCAGAGCCAGAGGCUCCCAGGAGCUUGGAGUAGGGCAGGAGCCCACCAUGGGCAGAGCCAGAGGCUCCCAGGAGCUUGGAGUGGGGCAGGAGCCCACCGUAGGCAGAGCCAGAGGUUCCCAGGGGCUUGGAGUGGGGCAGGAGCCCACCACAGGCAGAGCCAGAGGCUCCCAGGAGCUUGGAGUAGGGCAGGAGCCCAACAUGGGCAGAGCCAGAGGCUCCCAGGAGCUUGGAGUGGGGCAGGAGCCCACCACAGGCAGAGCCAGAGGCUCCCAGGAGCUUGGAGCAGGGCAGGAGCCCACCGUAGGCAGAGCCAGAGGCUCCCAGGUUCAGUGGACGGGGGCCUCCCUGCCACCUGCUGAGGGCUAAAGCCAUGUGGCCUCUGAGGACCCGGAUAAGGGAGGUUCAUGUUUGGGAACUGCUUGAGCCAGGCCUUGUCCUGGGAGCACAGGAGUGGGCGGGACGAAUAAAGCCCCUGCUCCCUACAGAGGCCAGUAUUGGGCUGAGGGGGUCCCGGCCUUUGAACUCAGCACAGCGGCUGUGCCUCCGUGUAGCCCUGCCGACCUCCCUGUCCCCCAGGCCUGACCUCUGUGAGUAUGGGGACGCCUGCACCAAGGCACACUCAGCACAGGAGCUGCAGGAGUGGGUUCGGCGCACGCAGGCUGUGGAGCUGCGGGGGCAGGCGGCCUGGCAGGACGGGCUGGUGCCCUACCAGGAGCGGCUGCUGGCCGAGUACCAGCGCAGCAGCAGUGAGGUCCUUGUGGUAAGUGGGCCCUGGGAGUGGGUGGGGUGGGGUGGGGUCCAGGCCUCUUGCUGAAGGCUAGACUUCCACGCAGCUGGCAGAGACCCUUGAUGGAGUGCGUGUCACCUGCAACCAGCCCCUGAUGUACCAGGCCCAGGAGAGGAAGACCCAGUACAGCUGGACGUUUGCCGUCCACUCUGAGGUGAGCGGAGAGCAGCUCCGACUGGGCGGAGGGAGCCCUGGGGAAGUGGUGACUUCAGCCCGGGCAGACGUCGACAGCCUGGGUCAUGGAGCUAAGACCGAGGCACUGCCGCUCAGCACCUGCGUGACCUGCAGCAGGUCCCUUAGCCUCUCUGCCUCAGUCUCCUCACCUAGAGACAGGGGGCCAGGACAGUCCCACCUUGGCAGGGUUAUUCUAUGGAGUAUAUGGGUUAAAACAAGGAUUUGGCCAGGUGCGGUGGUUCACGCCUGUAAUCCCAGCACUUUGGGAGACCGAGGCAGGUGGAUCACCUGAGGUCGGGAGUUCGAGAUCAGCCUGGCCAAUAGGGCGAAACUCCGUCUCUACUAAAAAAAAAAAA
This 2794-nucleotide small RNA is filed under the name Pan troglodytes (chimpanzee). RNAcentral's name for it is "processed transcript". The record is from RNAcentral. Lineage: Eukaryota; Metazoa; Chordata; Mammalia; Primates; Hominidae.